Long non-coding RNA from Protopterus annectens (West African lungfish), 551 nucleotides. RefSeq lists it as uncharacterized. NCBI's taxonomy places the organism in Eukaryota, Metazoa, Chordata, Ceratodontiformes, Protopteridae. The transcript is spliced from 4 exons. The record is from RefSeq and is a predicted model, not a curated record.
CUCAUCUGGCUCUUCAGUGUCAGCACAAGGCAGCUGAGCCUCAGUUCAGAGCCUGCAUUAUGAGCGGCAAUGGUGGAGUCCCCCCUCCCAGCACAGACACACGCAAACACACACACACACAUACACAUACACAGCUCAGCCUCCUGCAAACUCCACUCCUUAGGAGAACAAUUCCGUGGCAUUGUUAAUGUCUCAUGUCGCCUGACUGAGGGGAGCCAUAUGUUUGUUUUGCUGUCAUUAAAUGCUUCUUCCGUUCUUCCCAAAUAGUGGAAUACCUAAUCAGUGUGGAUUUUGAGAAACUUGACAGUGGGGAUUCUAUCCUCUCCAAAAGAUGUGAAGAAAACCAACAAAAUAAGGGAAGAAGCAAAGGAUCUUUACAGGACAACACGUUUUAAAGACAUUGAAGAAUCUCUGCUUGUCUUUGAAAUGAAGUUUAGUAUACAAUGUGCUCAUACUAAUGAAGCAGAAAAAAAUGUUGUUGACACUUAGCUCUGACAAUGCAUUGUGGUUCCAAGACCAGAUAUGAAUAGUAGGGUACUGACUAUAAAACA